GACGAACGCUGGCGGCGUGCCUAAUACAUGCAAGUAGAACGCUGAAGAGAGGAGCUUGCUCUUCUUGGAUGAGUUGCGAACGGGUGAGUAACGCGUAGGUAACCUGCCUUGUAGCGGGGGAUAACUAUUGGAAACGAUAGCUAAUACCGCAUAACAAUGGAUGACACAUGUCAUUUAUUUGAAAGGGGCAAUUGCUCCACUACAAGAUGGACCUGCGUUGUAUUAGCUAGUAGGUGAGGUAACGGCUCACCUAGGCGACGAUACAUAGCCGACCUGAGAGGGUGAUCGGCCACACUGGGACUGAGACACGGCCCAGACUCCUACGGGAGGCAGCAGUAGGGAAUCUUCGGCAAUGGGGGCAACCCUGACCGAGCAACGCCGCGUGAGUGAAGAAGGUUUUCGGAUCGUAAAGCUCUGUUGUAAGUCAAGAACGAGUGUGAGAGUGGAAAGUUGACACUGUGACGGUAGCUUACCAGAAAGGGACGGCUAACUACGUG
This 497-nucleotide ribosomal RNA is filed under the name uncultured bacterium. RNAcentral describes it as "partial 16S ribosomal RNA". It matches the Rfam family "Bacterial small subunit ribosomal RNA", at positions 28 to 507 of the family's 1533-position model. The record is from RNAcentral.